GUUGGUGUUUUAAGCGGCAGGGGUACACCUGAUCCCAUUCCGAACUCAGUAGUUAAGCCUGCCAGCGCUGAUGGUACUUGGGCAUUACGCCCCGGGAGAGUAAGCCAACGCCAACG
Molecule: ribosomal RNA, 116 nt
Filed under: Parcubacteria group bacterium
Lineage: Bacteria
Source: RNAcentral